AACAGAUGGACCUCACAGUCUCGCAACUAACAUGGGAACCAGUAAUCUCAUGCCAGAGGAAGCACUCCUGAGGCAGAGGAGAUUUCAGGAGAGAACAGGUUGAACAUUAAUAAGGAGGAGCUUUGGCACUGGUCCAAGAAACAGGAUAAGCUAAAUCUCUGCAUCUAUUCUGGACACCAGAAUGGCGCGGGGACCAUUUAGAGGUGAGAUGGGCAGAUGAGGAGCUGAAGUUUCAGAGAGGUUAAGCAAUUUGCCUAGGUUCACACAGCAAAGAUGAUGAAACUUACAACCACAAGGUGAGCCCUUCUUACUAGAAGUUCUCUUCGUGUCUCCUGGUGUUCACAUAUUGGAAGACUUAAUCCUUCAGUGACCGGGAAAAGACCUCCUAGGACCUACCAAUCCAGCCUUAUCAGACACCUGGCAGAGAAAGUGAUUUCUGAAGCAGGAGAAAACCCAGGAAGAUUGCUCAGUUCCUGUGCAAGCUGCUUCCCAGCUGGAGAUGACAGUUAAUCUUGAAAAUCAAUUCAGUGCCUGCUCUCACUGCAGACACUCCUCAGGGCAGGCCACGGCUCCUCUCACCACCGUUAAACAGAAUAAAAAGUGGGGAAUUGAGCAGCAUAGCAAUCCCCAGAAGCAGCCCUUUCACAGAGAGGAAGCUGAGGCUUAGAGGGUGUCAAUGGAUGAUCCAGUGCUGCAGAGCCAGAAGGGCCACCAUAACAAUGAAAUGGAGGCAGCAUACAUUGGUAAUGGAAAGAGCAUGGGAGUUUGGAAGUCAAAAGAGAUAAGCAUAAUCAUUUUAUGUCACUUUCUCUACUGGGUCAUAAGUGGUAACAGCAAGAAUUGUCUUAUGCUCAGAGUCAUCGGCUGAACCCAGAAGCUUGGAGAUUGGUUAUAUUUAUGAAGUCUAAAAGAGUAACUCAGAUGGAUGUUUUCUGACCUUGAUAAGGACUCUGAAAAUGAUCCUUACAAGUAAACAGAAGAGACCACAAAUAACCAGUGACAGGUAAUGUGAUGAGACAUGGGAUCAAAGGACUGCGAUUGACUGCUUACCAGUUGGGUGACUUUGAGUGAGUGAUUCCAGCUCUCAUGUGCCCUGCAAAACUUACUAUUGUAUUUAUGAUGGGCACAAUAUGCACUACGUCACACACUGUGCCCUUCAGGAAAACCUGCUAGACAAAUUCCUCUAGGUUUCAGUGUCUAGGAUUCCUGAAAAUUUCCUGAAUGACAGUUCAAAAAAGUCUAACAAGCAGUUGAAAUCUGGUUGCUUCUGUGGGUUUCUUUUCUACCAUGGUAGGCAAGGAAUCUCAGGGCGAAAUCUGCAGCCCACUGUGAACAAGGGCAUGGCACCUCAUGGUAUCCACUGGGUAUCCAAACUCUCAGCUAGCUUUUUCAUACUUAGAGGUGAACUUUCCACUAGUUUCUUCUUAUUUUGCAUUUACCCCAAUUUCCUUAUUUGUUUUUAAACCUAUAGUUCGGCACACACGUCUUUAAGAUAUCUUAAAACCUUUGUGAAAUGAAGUAGAUGGCAAAUAAGUACAUUAAAUUAUUUUAAAAAUAGUUUGUCUCACUCUCAAGUUUCACAGGCAUACAACGGGAAUAGAGUAAUAGUAUCCUUCACAAUGUUGCUGGAAGAUGAAGUGACUGUGCGUGUAAGCGGCACUUUGUUGAGGGUAGAAUGCUAUGGGAGUAUUUGUGGUCGUAGUGUUUAAUCUCUCUUUGCUUCCCCCUUUCUUGUGUUCUCAGCUCAGGGAGGGAAAGUCAUUGAGCUUGUUAGGCAUCAAAGCUCUGUUCCUGCCAGGCAGCAAUAUGGGAAAAGAAGGGAACCAACCACAGAAAGUGAAGACUCGCCAUGUCUGCUCGGCAGCAGCCCUGCUGAUGGCCCCUUACCAAGCUGUGAUAGGGCACAGAGCCACCGCAACACAUGGGCUGGGGGACCGGAAGCCAGGUGACUGAGGCGGAACACCAGGCGGGACCACUCGGGCCAAGAAUUCCUGCCUAAAUGUUCCUAUGAUACUUCUCCCAGCUUGCAGGUGGACAUCCUAGCCAGCAACGAUCUCAUGUCUCAUUAGAGUGCAAGGGGGAGGAGGGAAAUCUGUGCAUGUUAAAUGUCCAGCCUUCCAUUGAGUUUGCAUGAACAUGGGUGAGUAUGUCACAAAUGUAUUGGCCAAAGGCAAUGGCUCAGGGGCAAUGUGAGGUGUGUUGCCAAUGGCCCCCAAAUACUCAGCAUUUCAGAGUGAGUGACAUCCCAGCAAGACAACAGAUGACACUCAUUGCUUUUGAGGCAUAUGUGACAAAUAUUGGAAGGCUUUCUAAGGUCAGAGGCGAAGGAAUGAAGAUAGGAGGGAAGAGGAUGAAAAGAAGGGAUGGAGAGAAAGAAUGAAGUAGAUGGAAAGAUCAGUAGAAACACCAAUCAAGACUGGCAAUGAGUACUCCAGUAAUCUUUUUCUAUCCACCUGUAGCUUGAAUCUUUUCAGGACGAAACAGAUUCUACAUAUUUUUCCUUCCAAUGCAGAGGAAGGCUGUUGUUUAACAGUGUUUUAAUUGGCCAAGGGUAAAUGCAACUCAAAGAAAGACCGAAGUGGACUUAAAAGAAGUAUCACUGUUUAUCAGCAGGAACCAACAUUUAUUGAGCAGUCAUUAUGCAUCCAUUAUGAAAAACCACUGGACACUUUACCCAUUAUCUCAUAGGUACAAUCAUCUCUUUUAAUGGAUGGAGAGGUUAAACACAGUGGGCUCUAAAAC
This 2742-nucleotide long non-coding RNA is filed under the name Homo sapiens (human). RNAcentral describes it as "long non-coding RNA NONHSAT221138.1". The record is from RNAcentral. Lineage: Eukaryota; Metazoa; Chordata; Mammalia; Primates; Hominidae.